GAAUAAACCUGAUGAGUUGCUGCUGGUUCUCUAGGGAGCAAUGUGCACACUUGUUAUCUUUAUAUAUCUCCACCUGUGCACCUUUUGUAGACCUUGGAUUAUCUUUCUGAAUGAAUACAUGCAGGUUUGAGGAUUGGCUUUCUGUCUUUCCUUACAUUUUCCUGGGUCUAUGUUUUUCCAUAUACGCAUGCCAGUUAAUAGAAUGUAACAAAUGGGUGCUUUGCACCUAUAAAGUUGUACAACUUUCAGCAACGGAUCUCUUGGCUCU
Molecule: unclassified non-coding RNA, 268 nt
Filed under: rhizosphere metagenome
Description: partial ribosomal RNA internal transcribed spacer region
Source: RNAcentral